RNAcentral lists this ribosomal RNA (251 nucleotides) under uncultured prokaryote. RNAcentral describes it as "partial 16S rRNA". It matches the Rfam family "Bacterial small subunit ribosomal RNA", at positions 525 to 775 of the family's 1533-position model. The record is from RNAcentral.
ACGUAGGAGGCGAGCGUUAUCCGGAAUUACUGGGCGUAAAGCGCACGCAGGCGGCUUGGUAAGUUGGACGUGAAAGCUCCUGGCUUAACUGGGAGAGGUCGUUCGAAACUGCUGAGCUUGAGGCUGGAAGAGGGGUGUGGAAUUCCCGGUGUAGUGGUGGAAUGCGUAGAUAUCGGGAGGAACACCAGUGGCGGAAGCGGCACCCUGGUCCAGGCCUGACGCUGAUGUGCGAAAGCGUGGGGAGCAAACAG